GAUGAAGAACGUAGCGAAAUGCGAUACUUGGUGUGAAUUGCAGAAUCCCGUGAUCCAUCGAGUCUUUGAACGCAAGUUGCGCCCGAAGCCACUAGGCCGAGGGCACGCCUGCCUGGGCGUCACACGCCGUUGCCCCCCCAUCUACUCCUUCGGGAUUGCGGGGGGGCGGAUGAUGGCCUCCCGUGCGCCUAGCCGCGCGGUUGGCAUAAAUACCAAGUCCUCGGCGACGCACGCCACGACAAUCGGUGGUUGCGAAACCUCGGUUGCCCGUCGUGUGCGUUCGUCGCGCAUCGAGGGCUCGAAAAAAUGCUCGGCUCCGGCUGGGCUUUCAACGCGACCCCAGGUCAGGCGGGGUUACCCGCUGAAUUUAAGCAUAUCAAUAAGCGGAGGA
Molecule: unclassified non-coding RNA, 391 nt
Filed under: soil metagenome
Description: partial contains 5.8S ribosomal RNA, internal transcribed spacer 2, and large subunit ribosomal RNA
Rfam family: 5.8S ribosomal RNA (bases 1-122)
Source: RNAcentral